CCCUGGUAAUCUUUAUGGUGGGCAGUUGGUAGAGCAUGAGACUCUUAAUCUCAGAGUCAUGGGUUCAAGCCCUACACUGGGCA
Molecule: non-coding RNA, 83 nt
Organism: Podarcis lilfordi (Lilford's wall lizard)
Lineage: Eukaryota; Metazoa; Chordata; Lepidosauria; Squamata; Lacertidae
Source: the annotation of a GenBank genome assembly